GUGCUCAUUUCAGCAGCACAUAUACUAAAAUUAGAAUGAUACAGAGAUGAUUAGCAUGGCCACUGUGCCAGGAUGGCACACAAAUUCGUGAAGUUUUACAACUGUUA
Molecule: small nuclear RNA, 107 nt
Organism: Jaculus jaculus (lesser Egyptian jerboa)
Lineage: Eukaryota; Metazoa; Chordata; Mammalia; Rodentia; Dipodidae
Source: Ensembl